AGGGUUUGAUCAUGGCUCAGGACGAACGCUGGCGGCAUGCCUAACACAUGCAAGUCAAGGAGUGCCUUCGGGCACUACUGGCAGACGGGUGAGUAACACGUAGGUCAUCUGCCUCCAUCUCAGUGACAACUCCCGGAAACGGGAGCUAAACACUGGCGAGGUACUUCGGUAUCAAAGGGGCAACCCGGAUGGAGAUGAGCCUGCGGCUGAUUAGCUAGUUGGUGAGGUAAUGGCUCACCAAGGCCACGAUCAGUAGCUGGUCUGAGAGGACGAACAGCCACACUGGAACUGAGACACGGUCCAGACUCCUACGGGAGGCAGCAGUGAGGAAUAUUGCACAAUGGAGGAAACUCUGAUGCAGCGAUGCCGUGUGCGGGAUGAAGGGGCUUUGCCUUGUAAACCGCUGUCGGAUGGGACGAAAGCUCUGGUCGCCAGAGCAGGACGGUACCAUCAAAGGAAGGGACGGCUAACUACGUGCCAGCAGCCGCGGUAAUACGUAGGUCCCGAGCGUUGUCCGGAAUUACUGGGUGUAAAGGGUGCGCAGGCGGUUUUGUGCGUCAGAAGUGAAAUAUCACGGCUCAACCGUGAGGGUGCUUUUGAUACGGCAAGACUUGAGUACGAGAGAGGAUGAUAGAAUUCCUGGUGUAGCGGUGAAAUGCGUAGAUAUCAGGAGGAAUACCGGUGGCGAAGGCGGUCAUCUGGCUCGUAACUGACGCUCAGGCACGAAAGUGUGGGGAGCAAACAGGAUUAGAUACCCUGGUAGUCCACACCUUAAACGAUGUAUGCUUGGUGUUGGAGUAGCAAUACUUCAGUGCCGAAGGAAACCUCUUAAGCAUACCACCUGGGGAGUACGAUCG
Molecule: ribosomal RNA, 857 nt
Filed under: uncultured Chlorobiota bacterium
Lineage: Bacteria; Pseudomonadati; Chlorobiota
Description: bacterial SSU rRNA
Rfam family: Bacterial small subunit ribosomal RNA
Source: RNAcentral